This 236-nucleotide long non-coding RNA is filed under the name Hordeum vulgare. RNAcentral's name for it is "long non-coding RNA (HVUL_LNC003726)". The record is from RNAcentral. Lineage: Eukaryota; Viridiplantae; Streptophyta; Magnoliopsida; Poales; Poaceae.
UGGAGUAAUUCUAAUGCCUUUUCUCUCAUAAUAUGCAAGGUUUACAUCAAGUGGGAGAAUACCGGCAGAUGGAAUUCUCGACCUGAAAAAGCUACGUCACACGUACCUAUUCUGCACAUCUCCAAUUGGGCUGAAAAUUUAUGGAUAUUUAUUUUACAAUAAAUAAAAAAUAUGGAGCAAAAAAAGUGCCGGAGGGGGGCUACGAGGUGCCCAUUAGACACGAGGGUAUGUGAGCC